RNAcentral lists this ribosomal RNA (230 nucleotides) under Escherichia coli. Its description in RNAcentral is "partial 23S ribosomal RNA". It matches the Rfam family "Bacterial large subunit ribosomal RNA", at positions 1101 to 1329 of the family's 2925-position model. The record is from RNAcentral. Lineage: Bacteria; Pseudomonadati; Pseudomonadota; Gammaproteobacteria; Enterobacterales; Enterobacteriaceae.
UUGGCUUAGAAGCAGCCAUCAUUUAAAGAAAGCGUAAUAGCUCACUGGUCGAGUCGGCCUGCGCGGAAGAUGUAACGGGGCUAAACCAUGCACCGAAGCUGCGGCAGCGACGCUGAUGCGUUGUUGGGUAGGGGAGCGUUCUGUAAGCCUGCGAAGGUGUGCUGUGAGGCAUGCUGGAGGUAUCAGAAGUGCGAAUGCUGACAUAAGUAACGAUAAAGCGGGUGAAAAGC